RNAcentral lists this ribosomal RNA (521 nucleotides) under uncultured bacterium. RNAcentral describes it as "partial 16S ribosomal RNA". It matches the Rfam family "Bacterial small subunit ribosomal RNA", at positions 28 to 523 of the family's 1533-position model. The record is from RNAcentral.
GACGAACGCUGGCGGCGUGCCUAAUACAUGCAAGUCGUACGCAUCUUUUUCACCGGAGCUUGCUCCACCGAAAAAGAUGAGUGGCGAACGGGUGAGUAACACGUGGGUAACCUGCCCAUCAGAAGGGGAUAGCACUUGGAAACAGGUGCUAAUCCCGUAUAAUAGUUUGACCCGCAUGGGUUGAAUUUGAAAGGCGCUUUUGCGUCACUGAUGGAUGGACCCGCGGCGUAUUAGCUAGUUGGUGAGGUAAUGGCUCACCAAGGCAACGAUACGUAGCCGACCUGAGAGAGUGAUCGGCCACAUUGGGACUGAGACACGGCCCAAACUCCUACGGGAGGCAGCAGUAGGGAAUCUUCGGCAAUGGACGAAAGUCUGACCGAGCAACGCCGCGUGAGUGAAGAAGGUUUUCGGAUCGUAAAACUCUGUUGGUAAAGAAGAACAAGGGUGAGAGUAAAAAGUUCACUCCUUGACGGUAUUUACCCAGAAAGCCACGGCUAACUACGUGCCAGCCGCCGCCGUAA